RNAcentral lists this ribosomal RNA (250 nucleotides) under uncultured bacterium. RNAcentral describes it as "partial 16S ribosomal RNA". The stretch from base 1 to 177 matches the Rfam family "Bacterial small subunit ribosomal RNA", at positions 366 to 535 of the family's 1533-position model. The record is from RNAcentral.
GAACAAUGGGCGCAGCCUGAUGCAGCCACGCCGCGUGAGUGAUGAAGGUCUUCGGGUUGUAAAGCUCUUUCGGCCGGGAAGAAAGGGUGGGGGUUAAUAUACGAGGUGCCUGACGGUACCGAGCCAGCAAGCACCGUCAUACUACGUGCCAGCAGACGCGGUAAUUAAGCGGGGUGCCCGUUUUUAAAAAUCCCCUUUCAGAGGGGGGGAGGCAAAAAAAGAGGGUGGGGGGGGGGGGGGGGUUUUUUUU